RNAcentral lists this long non-coding RNA (604 nucleotides) under Cyanistes caeruleus (blue tit). RNAcentral describes it as "lncRNA (ENSCCEG00000016568.1)". The record is from RNAcentral. Lineage: Eukaryota; Metazoa; Chordata; Aves; Passeriformes; Paridae.
CUCCCCUUCUUCACCUGGGCAGGAUGCACAUUAGACACUUCACAAAGACAUUGUUACAACACAGAAAAUUGUACAGCGGUCUAUACUGCUCUAUGUUGUGCUCUAUGACUGUCUGUUCCCUGUUAAAAGAGCUGUGAAUACAGAGCCAGAGAGCCACAAUAAUUUUUACUAAGUAAUUUAGGGCUUUAGAUUCUGAAUUUUACAAUAAUGAGUGAGGAGCAGUACAGGAGACGGUAGUGGAAUGAUACAUCCUCUGACGGCUGAAUUUUUCUGACUUUAGUUUUUGUAACAUGGAACUUAUAAAAGCAUGGCAGUUGUGGCCUAUUUAACAUCUGCAAUGCAAGAGACAAGUACCAAAUUUUUCAAAUAUUUACUUAUCAUACAGUUGAGGGAGAGAGUUCAUCAAAACCUUCUGAUGUCUCCUUUAUGUUUACAAAGGAAAAGCAAUAUCCUUUAUGCCUAACUAUAACCUCAUUAAAAAAAAAAAAGUUUCUUCCCAGGACAUCCUGAGGCCAGAUAUUUCAUUAAACACGUUAUUUCUUCCAUGGCAAUUAAGUCUCUUUCACAAACCAAAUUUUCACACUAGAUAUCCUCUACGUUUUCC